Molecule: ribosomal RNA, 254 nt
Filed under: uncultured bacterium
Lineage: Bacteria
Description: partial 16S ribosomal RNA
Rfam family: Bacterial small subunit ribosomal RNA
Source: RNAcentral
CACGUAGGGAGCAAGCGUUGUCCGGAUUUAUUGGGCGUAAAGAGCUCGUAGGUGGUUCGGUAAGUCAGGUGUGAAACCUCCAGGCUCAACCUGGAGACGCCACUUGAUACUGCUGUGACUGGAGUCCGGUAGGGGAGCGUGGAAUUCCUGGUGUAGCGGUGAAAUGCGCAGACAUCAGGAGGAACACCAGCGGCGAAGGCGGCGCUCUGGGCCGGUACUGACACUGAGGAGCGAAAGCGUGGGUAGCAAACAGG